GACUCCGUUCAUAUCAGUCCAAUAGCUCGUUUCGACCGGUUCAGCUGUUCUGGAACUAGUGGCGCUGAUGGAUUUUGAGUUUGACGCACGGAUUUCGAGAAAAUCCAAAAAUACAUGUUUUAUAUGUAUUUGUGUGUGUGUGUUUCCUUCUAUUGGAAGAAGGUUGGAUUUUGUUGUGAAUCCGUGGUCGAUCGAGAUGAAUCGUAAGUGUAGCUUUGUUGUCUCCGAGGUGCUGAUCGCACUGGUGCAAUCUGUUCGCAAAUCUGACGGACGGAUCUGCGGAGAUCGCGCGUUGAUCGAGGAGAGGUCAGGGAUGGCAAAACGGUAAUUUCGCGAAAGUCGCGAUAUUUUAUGUACCGUUUCGCGAGAGAUCGGGCAUGGAGGGGUAUUCGUGCCUUUUACUCACGCCGUGAGGGAUUCGGAUUGAAUUGCUGAGUUUGGAGGGACUUUAGCGCAAUUUGUUACCCUAUAUAUAUAAUGUAGUUAGGGUUCACUAUGGAAACCCUAACCCUAAUCCGCCCCUAGCUGACCCAGACCACCCUUGCCGUCCCAGCUGAGCCCUGCCCUGCCCGUGCGCGCGCCCCGGCCGCCGGCGAGCUGCUCCGGCCACCGGAAACCCGCCAACAGCCUUCCCAGUCCACCCUCUCGGCCAUCCUCUCCCCCACCUUGGCCGAGAGCAGGUAGAGAGGCUCCACCACCUCUGGAAGGGAAGCCCCAGCCGUGAUCCACCUCCAGCACGUUGUUCCCCCGGCUCCGGCCAUCCCCGGACACCGCCGGAGCCGCCUGAGGGAGCUGCGGCCAGCCCGGGUCAGCCCAGACCGAGCCGGGCCAACCUUGGAGCCGCGCCGCCCCCUAGCCCUGCCGCCGCUUCCCGACGGCCGCGGAGGUCUCCGCCGACCGUCCGGCGACCACCGCACCCGACCCCGGCCACCCUUGAGCGCCGCCGGCCGCCGCAGGUGCCCCCUGCCGCCGCCUUCGUGCUGUACGGGCCGAGCGCGGGCCGCCUUCACUCCCGGGCAUCGCCGCCGCCCGCCGACGCAAGCUCGGCCACCGCCUCGUCCCCC
Molecule: long non-coding RNA, 1064 nt
Filed under: Ananas comosus (pineapple)
Lineage: Eukaryota; Viridiplantae; Streptophyta; Magnoliopsida; Poales; Bromeliaceae
Description: long non-coding RNA (ACOM_LNC041372)
Source: RNAcentral